CUUUUGCACACUGCUUGACCUGAUGGCAAAUAAGUGGCCUGGGCUGGUCGUCACAACAACUCUGAAGGUUGCACCAAUAUUCAGCAACAAAGUCUAUCUGUGGAAGGCGAUGUUCUCUGUGCGCCAGACUCUGGAGAAGGUUUUGAAGGAGCUGCAAUUCCAGCUCCAGGACUGGCAUAGCAACAUCUUCACUCAGCAGCAGAAGUCUUGCCUCACGUUCUUGUCUAUGCUGGUCUCUGAUGAUGUGGAUGAAGAUGAACUGGAUCCGUUGUACAAAGAGUUGAGAUCUCUGAAGUAUUCAGGAAUAGAA
RNAcentral lists this long non-coding RNA (310 nucleotides) under Parus major (Great Tit). Its description in RNAcentral is "lncRNA (ENSPMJG00000004169.1)". Lineage: Eukaryota; Metazoa; Chordata; Aves; Passeriformes; Paridae. The record is from RNAcentral.